UUUCCGUAGGUGAACCUGCGGAAGGAUCAUUAUUGUAUACCCGAGGUGCGAGGGCUGUCGCUGACCCGAAAGGUCGUGCACGCCCGAGUGCCCUCACACACAUCCAUCUCACCCCUAUGUGCACCACCGCGUGGGUCCCCCUUUGGCUUGUUCGGAGGGGGGCUUACGUUUUCACACAAACUUUGGAUGUAGUGUAGAAUGUAUUUUUUGUUUUUGCGAUCACGCAAUCAAUACAACUUUCAACAACGGAUCUCUUGGCUCUC
This 263-nucleotide unclassified non-coding RNA is filed under the name plant metagenome. Its description in RNAcentral is "partial contains small subunit ribosomal RNA, internal transcribed spacer 1, and 5.8S ribosomal RNA". The record is from RNAcentral.